This 492-nucleotide ribosomal RNA is filed under the name uncultured bacterium. RNAcentral describes it as "partial 16S ribosomal RNA". It matches the Rfam family "Bacterial small subunit ribosomal RNA", at positions 29 to 507 of the family's 1533-position model. The record is from RNAcentral.
AGUGAACGCUGGCGGUAGGCCUAACACAUGCAAGUCGAACGGCAGCACAGUAAGAGCUUGCUCUUACGGGUGGCGAGUGGCGGACGGGUGAGGAAUACAUCGGAAUCUACUUUUUCGUGGGGGAUAACGUAGGGAAACUUACGCUAAUACCGCAUACGACCUACGGGUGAAAGCAGGGGAUCUUCGGACCUUGCGCGUUUGAAUGAGCCGAUGUCGGAUUAGCUAGUUGGCGGAGUAAAGGCCCACCAAGGCGACGAUCCGUAGCUGGUCUGAGAGGAUGAUCAGCCACACUGGAACUGAGACACGGUCCAGACUCCUACGGGAGGCAGCAGUGGGGAAUAUUGGACAAUGGGCGCAAGCCUGAUCCAGCCAUACCGCGUGGGUGAAGAAGGCCUUCGGGUUGUAAAGCCCUUUUGUUGGGAAAGAAAAGCAGCAGGUUAAUACCCCGCUGUUCUGACGGUACCCAAAGAAUAAGCACCGGCUAACUUCGUG